CAAAACCUACUAAUUCAGAAUUGCUGGGUGUGGGGCCAAUAAAUCUGUGUUUCACCGAGGCAUCACGUGAUUCUGAUGCACGUUAGGUUUGAGAACAUUGGAUUAGAGAAACGAAGCGACCUCUUUCAUUAUAACAGAAGGGAAGGGGAAAAAGAUAAAAUGUAGGAAAAUUAGCCCUGAGCUAACAUCCGCUGCCAAUCCUCCUCUUUUUGCUGAGGAAGACUGGCCCUGAGCUAGCAUCUGUGCCCAUCUUCCUCUAUGUUAUAUGUGGGAUGCCUGCCACAGCAUGGCUUGCCAAGCAGUGCAUAUGUCUGGACCCGGGAUUUGAACCGAUGAACCCCAGGCCUCCGAAGCAUAACCUGUGAAUUUAACUGCUGUGCCACCAGGAGGGGAUUGUCCAGGUGCUUGUCCUUGACGGUGUCUGUCUCCAUGGAGGAUAGUGGAUUCUGGAGCCAGGAAGCCAGAGAUCUUGCUGCCAACUGAACUGAGGAGAAGAGAAUUGGAGGAGGAAGACAGAUGGCUCACAGAAUUCCAAUAUUAUCCUAAACAAAUCCAUAAUCAUGCCUCUGAAUUAGGAGAACGGAGAUUCCAUGGGGAAUAUCCUGGGCCUGAAAAAUGGUUCAUAUUUCAGACCAUAUCUAGGGGGUGGAGUAGAGUAUGUGUAGAAGAGAGAAAAAGAGUGAAACAAAAAUAGAAACCCGUGGGGGGUGGGGAGUGACUAAUGUACAGUAAUGCAGAAACUAAUUAUGUAUGCUUGGGCUAAUGGAGCUAAACAAAGAUAACUUUGAAAAGAUGUGGGAUAUUACAGAAAAUUUAGCUAAACUACUUGAAAUGCAAUUAG
This 841-nucleotide long non-coding RNA is filed under the name Equus caballus (horse). RNAcentral describes it as "lncRNA (ENSECAG00000046993.1)". Lineage: Eukaryota; Metazoa; Chordata; Mammalia; Perissodactyla; Equidae. The record is from RNAcentral.